Molecule: long non-coding RNA, 5803 nt
Filed under: Sus scrofa (pig)
Lineage: Eukaryota; Metazoa; Chordata; Mammalia; Artiodactyla; Suidae
Description: lncRNA (ENSSSCG00000054551.1)
Source: RNAcentral
CAGGCUGACCAGAGAGAGACUGUAUCACUGAUUUUGACUGAGAUCUUAAUAGCAGAUAAGGAAAUUAGCUGCUCUGUAAGCAUGAAAAUGACAAAAUAAAAAGCAGAAAAUACAGUUGUGUUGGGUGCCUGUCUUCUAAGCACCUUGUAUCCAUAAUGGCAUAAAUAAAUCUGUAAAUAAUAGAUCAAUAAGUAGACCCUUAAUAUCAUUCAUAAUAUAAAUCCAUGGUAUAUCUGUAAAUAACAUGGUCCAGGAAAUAUAGCUCCUUCAGAAAGAAGCUACAGGCUAAGCAUAUUCCUGGGAAGGCAUUAAAAUAGACUUUUAUUAAAGAUAAGCCUGAAGGAAUAGCUUUUACCCAUUCUUGAAUUUAAAGCUUCUGAAGAAAACUGAAAUCUUAAAAAGACAGAAUCCCUUAGUUUUUUAAUAUAUAUAUAUAUAUCAUUUAUUGAUUUUUUCUCUCUAGAUCACUUUACCUUAUGAAGUUAAUGACCUUUGUCUUUGAUAUGAUGUACAUUCAUUCUGUUCUCCACCGUCUCCCUUUGUCCCGGCUCUUUCUUUUUCUCUUUUUUUCUUUCUCUUUCUGUCUCUUUCCCUUUCUUUCUCUCUCUCUCUUUCAUUUUUUCUUUCUUUUGACCACAGCAUGCAGUGGCUUGAUGUAGGAUCUCGGUUCCCAGACCAAAAUUGAACCUCAGGCUGCAGCACUGAAAGCGCCAAGUACUCACCACUAGACCAUCAUGAACUCGCCAUUUAUUUAUUUAUUGUAUUUUUAAAAGAGAUCCCUCUUAUAAGGAUUACAUUGAUAAAAUCAUUAUCAAAAGAGUUAAAGUGACCUCAUGGCUUCCGAUUCCUGGGAUUACUUGCACUUUAAGAUGUCCAUAAAUCUUAGCUUGAGUUGUCGAAUACCUUGAAACCUAAAUGGAGUUAUUAUGGCUAUUUGAACUAAUUGCACUCCCCUCAGUCCAGACCAUGAAGGCAAAUAAAAAGAAGUACACACACACACACACACACACACACACACACGCACACACGCACACACUCUCUUUCACUGAUAAUUCUGUUCUUUGACUUUCAUCUACCCUUUAAAAAGGACAUACUUAUAUCUUUGAUUUAAAUUGAAAUAUUAAUAUAAUAGGAAUUCUAUGUAGGUAUUAGUAGGAAUAUUACUUAGGUAGAUAUCCCUGCUAUGUACAGAAACACUAUAGAGAAAGAAAGUUUUAUUAUUUGUUAGUUUUGGUUUUUAUAUUUGCAGUCAACAUUUACUGAGCAUCUGCAUGAGACUUCAGUUACUAACCAUACAAAGAUAUAGUCUUUGCCCUUGAAAAACUUAAGUCAGCUGCUUCUUUGGAUACAUAGACAGGUAGAUAGAUAGAUAAAUAGAGGGAGUACUUAGAUGGCAGGGGAUUGUCUAGCUCCUUUUAGAAUCAUAGCCCUACCAUCUUCUAGCUAGGAUUCCUUAAUUAAAGCUGAACCACCUAUUCUUUUAUACUAUUUUUAAUUGGCUUGCUGUUUUCUUUUCUUUUUUUUUUUUCUUUUAGUUUUACUUGGCUGCACCUGUGGCAUGCAAAGUUCCCAAGGCAGGUAUCAAAACUGUGCCACAGCAGUGACCCAAACUGCUGCAGUGGAAAUGCCUGAUCCUUAACCUGCUGUGCCUCAGGAGACUCUGGCUUGCUGUUAUAUAUAUAUAUUCCCUUUUUCUUAUGACACUGUGAAUUUUUUAAAUAGUCAUUUCCUUUGUUUUUCUCCAAUUUAACUCAUUUCAGUAGGGAGAGGACAGAAUUGUUUGAAAGAGAAUCAUGUGUAGUUAUGAGCUAAUAUGAAAAUAUUUAUUUGAUCAAAGCCAAAACACAAACAAAUAAACAAUUGUGAAAUGGUUAGAUGCCAACAUGUAAUUUUGGCACAGUAAAACAAGGAGUCAAAACCCAUGGAGUAUUAUUAAUAAAACAAAAUAGUAAAAGUGGCAACAUACUUUCAUUCAUCUUCACAAAACACUAAACUUGUACGAUAAUUAGAAAAUAGAAUAGUCUUGGCAAUUUAUACUAAACUAAAUAAUGAUGUCCUAAAAUGUAAAAUAUUAAGAAGUAAUCAAAAAAGGUUAUAUUCCUGUCUUUGUAAAUUUUAGGCAAACAUACUCACUUAUAUUUCCCCCAUUUCUUUUUUGUAUGUGAGUGUUUUCUUGGCCAAAGAAGACCUAGAGUUCCAGAUGUGUAUGGGUUGCUGAAUAUUGUCUUUUCUUUUACCUGUUUUAUAUAUAUUCUUAGAGCUCUGUAUAUAAUUUCUAUUUAUAAUUUCAGGUAAGUUGUGGGGGAGAUACACACAUAACCCCCUACGCAAGCAGACAGGGAGUGAAUAUAUGCAAAUAUGAAGUGAACAUAAGAUAGGACUAACACAUGAUGGGCAUUUAAAAAUUAGUUCCUGAUUUCCUUAUUUCCAUCUAUCUUCCCUCCUUCCUAAUUCUCCUGCCUAAUACAUUUUAAAUAAAAACCUCUAUUUAAUUGUGGGUCCCCAAGGCAGAACAUGUGAACAUAGUUCUGGUAACAAUAAUUCAUCUCCAAUUUAAAUACAAAUUGCUGUGAAACAUGAGACAUGUUUAUGAAGAUUCAUCUAGGUAUUCAUCUGGCCACAAACUUUACCUAUUUCCAAAGAAAUUAUUCAGACUAGGAAAUCUUGACACUCUUUUCUGUUUAUAUUGGUUGGUUUCUGGAGAUUGUUUUUUUGGCUACGUAAUAUUAAGAUCUAAAUGAAUGUUUUUGUCCACAAUGAUAUGUAAUUAGUAAGUGCUCGAUGACAUGGUCAGACAAGAUGUAUUUAAUAAAUAUUCUUGCUGUUGUUGCUCUCGGUAUCCUAAUUGUACUAAAGAUCACAUAUACACACACACACUUGGUAAUGAAGAGGGAAAAAGAGGUAUUUCUAUUGAAGUCAGUGAAGGCCACUGAUGUUAAUUUUUCACACAGCUGCCCAUACAUGAUUCAGAAAGUCUACAAACUAUGAUUUCGAUUUGUUUUCUCAAAGUCCUCAAAGAGAAUUAAGGCAAUUUCUUUCAAAAUCCUGAUGCCACCCUUGCUUGCUUAUCUUCUCCCUAAAGUGCCCCAGUCCUUACUUCCUUUCAGAUCUUCAGUGAAUUAAUUACUCGACAGUGGUUGUCCUUUGCCGAUAGCAAAUUAAUUCUAGCAGCACUCAGUCCAUGUAGGACAAACUGUGAUGUGCCCAUUGGUACUAUUCUUUGUGAUAUAAAUUGAGGGUUUUCAGCAUUUAUUAUUCCAUUCACAAUUUUGUAAAUAGUGAUGACACAUCAUAGCCACAACAAACUAUUAAAGACCACAGGGACAGGUAUAUGCACAAAUCCAGCCUCUGCCACAAAAAAGUAAAAGCCCCAUAGAUUAGAGUGAUGACUUUUCAUAUUUAAUCUGUGACAGCUGUGGACAGCACUGCUGGCAUCUAGCACACAGAACUAUCUUUCUCUUCACUUUGGGAUUGAAUGCUUGAUCCAAGAUAUGUUAACCAAAUGUAAAAAAUAAAUCUCCACCUGCUGGGUGACAGCAUGCCCACUAGCUGUCCCAUCCAGUUUUCUUAUGGAAAGAAAGUCAGAUUUCAUUGUUUUUAUUCUUAUUGAGAAGUCAAGUGUAGAGAAUAAAUUAUUUUCCAUCCUAUGCCUAAAAGAAGUUUGAUGUAUCUUUUUCCCUCCCUAGAGAAAAGAAUAAAAAUAGAACAAUUUAUUUUAACUGGAAAGCAAUAAAAAGUGACAUGAUGUUAAGAUAGAUAGUAAAAUCUCACUGGAAUGGAGUGAGCAAGGGAGAAAUUUCGUUUAUCCCUUAAACUUAACUCUUCAAGGAUAUUUAGAGAAAAAAGAAGAUGUUUAAUAUUUAUAGUUCUCUAUGGUUCUAUUUCUUUGAGUUGAGUUUACACAAAACUUUGAUUUAAGGGUCAUCUGGGCUAGCCAAAUAAUAGGGGAUACUAUAAACAAUAUGCUAUACACUUUUUUUUUGUACACAGAAGAUCAGCUGUGUUGGCUAAAUAUUAAAUUUUGAAAACAUUAUCUAUCAUCCAGUAGAUAGCAGAGGGCACCUCUUAUAUAAUAACAGUUUUGUACCUGGUUGCAGAAAAAAAAUGAAAGUUUGAUAAGUACUCAAAAACACUGGCCUAUUCAUUCUGCAAAAAUUUGCAACUACAACACAAUGUAACACCUGAGAUACUUCAAGUGAAAUUAAUUUUUUUAAACUUACAUCUAUUACUUAUAGUUCAUCUAGUAAGUGGUCCAUUCAUAUUCUCCUUGCUUAUCAACAAAUGAGAAGGCUCAGUGCAUUUUGAAGGUCAAUUUUUAUGGUUGCAUAAUUUUAUAAUUUUAUAAUUUUUUUUUGUAAUCCUCAGUGGCUAUUGUAAUAAAAAGGAAUGAAUUAAUAGCCUUUUAACUAAAGUGAACUUUUGAUACAGAAACAAAAAGAAUAUUGAGAGUGCCCUGCCUUAAAUGAAAGAUUAAGAGCUUUAUUCUGUGCAAUAAAUGGGGUAGGUCCUAUGAUCUAGAACUUUUGCAUUGCUAUUCCAGAUAUUAAAAGGGUGAUGUAAAGAGAGCUGGGAAAUUGUCUAUUGCUUGAAAAAAAAAAUUGCAGAAUGAUGCACCAACUAUUAAAGACAAGAUUUUUGCUUCAGACUGUGGUAACCAUGGGAUAUGCAUAAAUACUGAAGUAAUGUUCUUGGUCUUAGCUAUACCAUCCAAAAUGUCAAAGACGUUUUCUUCUUGACAGAAUUAGAAUUAAGCAAUUUUUAAAAGAACUUCCACCUGUUAUAGUCCAAAGAAGCACUGUUUGCGAUUCUGGAAAUAUUGCAAACUUCCUUAUCAUUUCUUCUUUUUUGCAAGGGGAAUAAUAGAAUGUGUGGCUUUAAAACGAACUUUUUUUUUUUUCCUCAUAGAGCCGAUAAUCAAAUGAGAGUAUCAAAAAUAAAAAUAUGUCAGGUGGGGAUAGUGGAAUGUAGAAAAAUAAAGUGUAAUACAAGACAGAGAGGAAGGGGAGUUGAUUUUAUGUAGAGUGCACCAGGAAAGCCUCUCUGAUUUUAUAAAUAACCCCAGUGAAGUGAGGAAAAAGCCAUGCAUGUAUUGGGUCACUGAAAUUUCCAUUUCAAAAGACCGUGGACACCACAGAUCCUGAGGCUGGAGAAUUCUUGGCUGCCAGAGGAAAUGCCGGUCAAGUUGACAUGGUGGUGUUGAUGACGGUAGUAGUAGCAAAAGUGAGAAAAAAAUGUCAAAUGCACCUUCAAUUUUGUAAUUCACCAAUCAGUGAAUGUGUACUAAUAAUAUGCUGUAGAUACAGGAUAAUAGACUCAUUCUUUCUUUUCAGUUACUCCAAAUAUAAUUGUACUAUGGUUUCUAGAAAGAAAGUGAUAUCACAAUUUAAUGGCUACAAGGUCUAAUUUAUGAUUAUUGUCUAUACAAUAUAAGCAAUAAUCAGGGAGUUCCAGCUGUGGCACAGUUGGUUAAGAUUCCAACUGUGGCAGCUGAGGUCACUGAAGAGGCGUGCGUUAAAUCCCUGGCCUGGUGCAGUGGGUUAAAGAACCCGGCAUUGCUGUAACUGCCCUCAGAUGCAAUUCCUGACCCAGGAACUUCCAUAUGCUACUGUUGCAGUCAUAAAAAUAUAGAUAAUGUUUCAUAAGCAAUAAUCAGAAGGGGUUACUCAAUAAUCAGUUAUCAAAUAAAUCAUUCUGGCCAUCAUCAGGUUUAUUCCAUUAAUCCAGCAGUCCAAUUUCUAGCUCCUCAGUUGUUCAUAGUAUAGACUCAAGCUCAGAGUAAGCAGAAAUGGGCUUUGAACAUGAG